GGCGCGGUGAGCGCGGCGGGGGAGCCCCCGAGCUGCCUACGGUCCCCGCCCCCGGCCGGAGUGGCCCGGGCCGGUCGCGCCACGUGGGGCCGCCCGGGUCCCCGAGCCCCUCAGUAACCGUAGUGAACGGGGCUGCAGGAGCCGCUCCCGGCCCGGCCCUUCGUCACCGCGCCCUCCGCCGCUGGGAGAGACGGGGCGCCGAGCGUCCAGACCUGUCCCGGGGUGCAGAGCAGGGGCGCCGAGCGUCCAGACCUGUCCCGGGGUGCAGAGCAGGGGCUCGGGACCCGGUGGCCCCUGCCACCGCUACCUGGCGCUCGGGUGCCAGCCUCCAGGUCUCGCGACUCCGCAAGAGUGAGCACCCCUGGGUGCUAGGAGGAUCGCAGACUGCCCCCACCUGCUCCUCCACCCACUCACACCCUCUCUGAGGCCAGCUGGGAACCGAGAGGUCAGAGGCACUGUGGGAAAGCAAGGAGAGCUUGCAGUGAAAAGAAGUUGCAAAGGGCUGUACUGUGUUUGGCACAGAUUUGUUUAUUCAAGGAUGAGGCAGAGGGAGAGAGAGAGAGAAUCCCAAGCGGACUCCCUGCUGAGUGGGAUCUGGUGAUGCUGAGUUCAAUCUCAUCACCCCUGAAAUCAUGAAGUCAGAUCCUGUAACUGAAUCCUACUCAGAAUCCCCCAUGGCUCCAUCUCACUCAGAGCACCGCCCCAAGUCCUUACAAGGGUAUCUAUGUGGCAUCUUGCAGCACAAGCAAGCUCUGGCAAGAAGCAGAGAUUCCAAAUUCUCCUGACCCACGGGGCCUGACAAGGCUGUGCUGAAGGCUGGGACUAGAUCUGGUUCAUGUCUGCAUCCCAAAGACUACAAACAAAUUGUAUUUGGAAAGGAAAAUAUUAUGUGUGUUGCCUUCUUCGAAGUUAAAAUCCAGCCCCAUCAGAGAAAGCCAGUUUUAAGUAUUUUUGUAAUUAUGGCUCCAAGUUUAGUUGGUAAUUUAGACCAUUAAAAACACUUUUUCAUAUUAACUUGUCUAAUCCCCACAAGACUCUAUAAAAUGGGUACUAUUUGUACUCCCAGUUUGCCAGUGGUAAAUACCAGGCCCAGAGACACUCAGUAAGUUACGCAAGGUCACACAGCACUUCUUUUGAUAGGCUAUAGCAUGAGGACUUGAAGCCUUCUUAGGACAGACUAAUUUCCCCAUGUGGUAUGAACACACCUUAGGGUUUCCUACCUCCCCACCUUUAUUUGUGCUGGUUACCUGCCUGGAAGCUCUUUCUUCCUUUCAGUUCAUCUAAACCUGUUAUGGGAAGGGAUGUUAGUCCAGGUCCUCUGAGAGAGCCAACAUGGAAAAAAAUAUCCAAGAGAUUUAUUAGGGAAAAUGCCGGGAUGAGAGGCAGGGAGUGAGGAGGUGAGGAGGGAGCCAGUGGAGGCUGGGAGGGAGGGAGGAAGGAGGGAGAAAAGAAGAUAGGGUGGUUGUAGACUGCAGUGGCUUUCUAAGAAAGUUCAGUACGGCUGACAAAAAGUCCUUAUGCUUCCAGAGGAGCCCUGUGUCUCCUGGGAAUGGGCCUGCCUCCUGCCUCCCUGCCUCCCUGCCUCCCUCACUGAUUAACUGGGACCAGCCCCUGGGAAGUGUGGUCUUGACUCAACUGUUAGGAUGAAUCCAUGGUCUGUUGAUUAGGCUCCAUGCCAGAGGCCUGACAGGUACAUUUUCAUGGCUGCAGAGGUAAGGAAAUAUAUUUGCCAUCUAAAACAACAACCGAAAAAAAUUAAAUCAGUCAACAAGCUGACUAUAUGCACUUCUAUAGGCAUGAAUUCCAUCAGUGCAAGAAUACAUUCUUCCACUUACAGACACUGGGCCAGGUUGAGGGGGGAGGACAGGAAGGGGAAGAAAAGACCAAAGCUGCAAAGUUUCUACUAUUUUUAUGCUACUAAAGAGAGAGUGGCAAACUCAAGUCUCCAAACAAGUCUGAUAAAUGAAUGAAGUGACCUGUCAUAUCAGGAAGGUGAUAGGGAGUGGGGGAGAUGGUGGAAACUGGAGAGCACUGCCCCAUCCCAAGGGAAGCUCCCUCUUCUCAGCACAGCCAACGAUGGAUGGGCCAUGUACAACUAUGUGCUCAGUGUGGCCAGGUCUUUUGAUUCAAGAGAAGCCAGAAAGAGUAGCUCACAUUAUUUUAAAACACCUCAGAGGCCAGGGCGCCUGGGUGACUGAGUGCUUGAGAAUCUGCCUUUGGCUCAGGUCGUGAUCCUGGGGUCCUGGGAUCGAGUCCUGCAUCGGGCUCCCCAUGGGAAGCCUGCUUCUCCCUCUGCCUAUGUCUCUGCCUCUCUCUGUGUGUCUCUCACUAAUAAAUAAAUAAAAUAUUUAAAACAAAAAUAAAAUACCGCAUAGUCCAACAACACACAUCUGCCACCUGAUUUUGGCCCUGGAGGUUAGCUGUGCCAAAGGCCAGUGGCUAAGCCAUUUGGGGAUAUGCAAAAUAGAUCUGGAGUUGGGAUGUGGAACUCAAGUGCUCUGUAGAAUCAAAGAAGGAGAAUGGAGUUUUAUUUUAUAUUUUUAAAGACUUUAUUUAUUUGAGAGAGAGAGAAAGCAAGAGAGCAUGAGUGGAGGGAGAAGGCCAGAGGCUGAAGCAGACUCCCCACUGAGUAGGGAGCCCGAUGACGUGGGGCUUGAUCCCAGGACUCCGGGAUCACGACCCAAGCUGAAGGCAGAUGCUUAACCAAAUAAGCCACCCAGGUGCCCUGGAGAAUGGGGCUUUAGAAGGAGGCCUGAGAGACAGGAGGUAAAGGCCAGGCUGACAUGAGGGCAGGUAGGGGCCCUAUGCAGAAAGGCUGCCAAGUGAAAUGCCCUGUGGAAUUAGAAGUGGUCAAAUAGUCCCUGCAAUUCGAAGUAUGUAAUACUGAGUAUUUAUUCAUUUGCUGUGUUGGGCUAAGGAAUAGCAACACACACACACACACACACACACACACACACUCAUAUGUCAUCCCCUCAUUGCCCAGAAAUGUUCAAGAAUAAUCUACUACACACACAGGGUGAUCAAACUCAUUCUGUUUGACCAGACUUUCCCGGUUUUCAUUCUGAAAGCACCACAUCCCAGGAAAUCCCUCAGUUCUGGAUGACCAGGAGGGCAGGUCACACUAUCAACACACAUCUGCAGUAUGAGUGCAGGCGGCCCCAUGGAUCCCAACCAGCUGCCUUGGCCCUUUGGAGUGGAAAAACUGAUGCGACUGGACCUCAGUCUCCUCCACUCUUUACUGUCCUGCCUGAGCGCUAGCCUGACGGGGAGGCCAAGGAGAAAACAGACCUGUGUUGAUCCGAUCUGUGGACAGACUCCAAGUGCUGGAACCUCCUGCCGCCCUGCAGCACCCUGAAAGCCUCAGAGUCUCUGCUUCCUCCUGUAGGAAAAUGGGGACAGCGAUCCUAGCUGUUUGGUUAUGUCUCAGAGUAGCUGAAGAGGACCCAGUGAGAUAACAGGGGUAGGAAAAGUGGCUGCAUAUGGCAAUAUUUUCUCCUUCUCCAUCUUGAAAUUAUACCAAAGCGUCAAGGAGAGUUAAAAAAAAAAAGCCUCACAAAACUCCAUUUUUA
Long non-coding RNA from Canis lupus familiaris (dog), 3569 nucleotides. RefSeq lists it as uncharacterized. Lineage: Eukaryota; Metazoa; Chordata; Mammalia; Carnivora; Canidae. The record is from RefSeq and is a predicted model, not a curated record. The transcript is spliced from 5 exons.